Molecule: ribosomal RNA, 831 nt
Filed under: uncultured Thermoplasma sp.
Lineage: Archaea; Methanobacteriati; Thermoplasmatota; Thermoplasmata; Thermoplasmatales; Thermoplasmataceae
Description: bacterial SSU rRNA
Rfam family: Archaeal small subunit ribosomal RNA
Source: RNAcentral
AAAGCGUCCGUAACCGGUUUUAUAAAUCUUCAGAUAAAUUCUUCCGCUUAACGGAAGAACUUCUGAAGAGACUGUAAGACUUGGGACCGGGUGAAGUUGAAUGUACUUUUGGGGUAGGGGUAAAAUCCUGUAAUCCUGAAAGGACGACCGGUGGCGAAAGCGUUCAACUAGAACGGAUCCGACGGUGAGGGACGAAGGCUAGGGGAGCAAACCGGGUCAGAUACCCGGGUAGUCCUAGCUGUAAACGCUGCCCACUUGGUGUUGCCUCUCCGUUGAGGGGGGGCAGUGCCGUAGCGAAGGUGUUAAGUGGGUCACUUGGGGAGUACGGUCGCAAGGCUGAAACUUAAAGGAAUUGGCGGGGGAGCACCGCAACGGGAGGAGCGUGCGGUUUAAUUGGAUUCAACGCCGGAAAACUCACCGGGAGCGACCUUCGGAUGAGGGUCAACCUGACGAAUUUACCCGAUAGAAGGAGAGGUGGUGCAUGGCCGUCGUCAGCUCGUACCGUAGGGCGUUCACUUAAGUGUGAUAACGAGCGAGACCCCCAUCUCUAAUUGCUAAAACAUUCUAGCGAAUGUUUGCACUUUAGAGGGACCGCCGGUGCUAAACUGGAGGAAGGAGGGGUCGACGGCAGGUCAGUACGCCCCGAAUCUCCCGGGCUACACGCGCGCUACAAAGGACGGGACAAUGAGCUGCAACCUCGAAAGGGGAAGCUAAUCUCGAAACCCGUUCGUAGUCAGGACUGAGGGCUGUAACUCGCCCUCACGAAUGUGGAUUCCGUAGUAAUCGUAGGUCAACAGCCUACGGUGAAUAUGUCCCUGCUCCUUGCACACA